This 530-nucleotide long non-coding RNA is filed under the name Fukomys damarensis (Damara mole-rat). RNAcentral describes it as "lncRNA (ENSFDAG00000030962.1)". Lineage: Eukaryota; Metazoa; Chordata; Mammalia; Rodentia; Bathyergidae. The record is from RNAcentral.
AGCUGAGGGGCCUGGUGGGGUGGAGCAGGAAGGGUGGCUCGUUUUCAACUCCUCCCGCUUGGGCUUUCCCAUUCUUUUCUUUCUUUCUUUUUUUAAUAUUCAAAUCCAAAUCAUUUUUUAAAGUACCAUGACCUUUCCAUGAAAGCAGCCAAUAAGAUAGGAUCUUAAAAAGGCAGACUUCAGGACAAGGAAUUUUUUUCCCCCUUGGGCUUUGUUUUUCCGUCUUGAAUUAAUCACAGCUGUCUUUCACUAGCAAAGGUUGUUUUUAUCUACCGUACCUUAAAUUAAAAACAACAACAACAAAGGGAGCAAUCGGAUGGCCUUCAAACUCCAUAACCUUCCACAGAAAAGAGAGAAGCAUUCGCUCCACGCUGCUAAGAAUGCAGCUUCUAAUUCGCUCUUCCUGUUGUUUACAUGAACUUUCCUUCGCAUUUCCUUAUGGAAAGAUGCCCGUGGCUGACCCGGGAGUACUGGUGAAUUUCUCCAUCAACAAUUUAACAGUUACCCUGGUAACGGAUUCAGUGAGGUAA